This 235-nucleotide ribosomal RNA is filed under the name uncultured bacterium. Its description in RNAcentral is "partial 16S ribosomal RNA". It matches the Rfam family "Bacterial small subunit ribosomal RNA", at positions 96 to 334 of the family's 1533-position model. The record is from RNAcentral.
UGGCGGACGGGUGAGUAAUGUCUGGGAAACUGCCCGAUGGAGGGGGAUAACUACUGGAAACGGUAGCUAAUACCGCAUAACGUCCCAAGACCAAAGAGGGGGACCUUAGGGCCUCUUGCCAUCGGAUGUGCCCAGAUGGGAUUAGCUAGUAGGUGGGGUAAUGGCUCACCUAGGCGACGAUCCCUAGCUGGUCUGAGAGGAUGACCAGCCACACUGGAACUGAGACACGGUCCAG